UACGUAGGGGGCGAGCGUUGUCCGGAGUUACUGGGCGUAAAGAGCACGCAGGCGGUGCGGCGCGUGUCGCGUGACAGCGGGGGGCUUAACUCCCCGAGGGUGCGACAGACGGCGGCACUUGAGGGCCAGCGAGGGACACGGAAUUCCGGGUGGAGUGGUGAAAUGCGUAGAGAUCCGGAGGAACACCGAAGGCGAAGGCAGUGUCCUGGCUGACACCUGACGCUGAGGUGCGAAAGCCAGGGGAG
RNAcentral lists this ribosomal RNA (245 nucleotides) under uncultured bacterium. Its description in RNAcentral is "partial 16S ribosomal RNA". It matches the Rfam family "Bacterial small subunit ribosomal RNA", at positions 524 to 768 of the family's 1533-position model. The record is from RNAcentral.